Molecule: ribosomal RNA, 1463 nt
Filed under: uncultured Klebsiella sp.
Lineage: Bacteria; Pseudomonadati; Pseudomonadota; Gammaproteobacteria; Enterobacterales; Enterobacteriaceae
Description: bacterial SSU rRNA
Rfam family: Bacterial small subunit ribosomal RNA
Source: RNAcentral
AUUGAACGCUGGCGGCAGGCCUAACACAUGCAAGUCGAGCGGUAGCACAGAGAGCUUGCUCUCGGGUGACGAGCGGCGGACGGGUGAGUAAUGUCUGGGAAACUGCCUGAUGGAGGGGGAUAACUACUGGAAACGGUAGCUAAUACCGCAUAAUGUCGCAAGACCAAAGUGGGGGACCUUCGGGCCUCAUGCCAUCAGAUGUGCCCAGAUGGGAUUAGCUAGUAGGUGGGGUAACGGCUCACCUAGGCGACGAUCCCUAGCUGGUCUGAGAGGAUGACCAGCCACACUGGAACUGAGACACGGUCCAGACUCCUACGGGAGGCAGCAGUGGGGAAUAUUGCACAAUGGGCGCAAGCCUGAUGCAGCCAUGCCGCGUGUGUGAAGAAGGCCUUCGGGUUGUAAAGCACUUUCAGCGGGGAGGAAGGCGAUAAGGUUAAUAACCUUGUCGAUUGACGUUACCCGCAGAAGAAGCACCGGCUAACUCCGUGCCAGCAGCCGCGGUAAUACGGAGGGUGCAAGCGUUAAUCGGAAUUACUGGGCGUAAAGCGCACGCAGGCGGUCUGUCAAGUCGGAUGUGAAAUCCCCGGGCUCAACCUGGGAACUGCAUUCGAAACUGGCAGGCUAGAGUCUUGUAGAGGGGGGUAGAAUUCCAGGUGUAGCGGUGAAAUGCGUAGAGAUCUGGAGGAAUACCGGUGGCGAAGGCGGCCCCCUGGACAAAGACUGACGCUCAGGUGCGAAAGUGUGGGGAGCAAACAGGAUUAGAUACCCUGGUAGUCCACGCCGUAAACGAUGUCGAUUUGGAGGUUGUGCCCUUGAGGCGUGGCUUCCGGAGCUAACGCGUUAAAUCGACCGCCUGGGGAGUACGGCCGCAAGGUUAAAACUCAAAUGAAUUGACGGGGGCCCGCACAAGCGGUGGAGCAUGUGGUUUAAUUCGAUGCAACGCGAAGAACCUUACCUGGUCUUGACAUCCACAGAACUUUCCAGAGAUGGAUUGGUGCCUUCGGGAACUGUGAGACAGGUGCUGCAUGGCUGUCGUCAGCUCGUGUUGUGAAAUGUUGGGUUAAGUCCCGCAACGAGCGCAACCCUUAUCCUUUGUUGCCAGCGGUUCGGCCGGGAACUCAAAGGAGACUGCCAGUGAUAAACUGGAGGAAGGUGGGGAUGACGUCAAGUCAUCAUGGCCCUUACGACCAGGGCUACACACGUGCUACAAUGGCAUAUACAAAGAGAAGCGACCUCGCGAGAGCAAGCGGACCUCAUAAAGUAUGUCGUAGUCCGGAUUGGAGUCUGCAACUCGACUCCAUGAAGUCGGAAUCGCUAGUAAUCGUAGAUCAGAAUGCUACGGUGAAUACGUUCCCGGGCCUUGUACACGCCGCCCGUCACACCAUGGGAGUGGGUUGCAAAAGAAGUAGGUAGCUUAACCUUCGGGAGGGCGCUUACCACUUUGUGAUUCAUGACUGGGGUGA